Molecule: non-coding RNA, 153 nt
Filed under: Heterosigma akashiwo
Lineage: Eukaryota; Raphidophyceae; Chattonellales; Chattonellaceae
Source: RNAcentral
AUGAAGAAAAAAAAAGUAGUGGUGGUGGUGGUGGCAUGGUUUUUAUUUAAAUAUAUAUAUAUAUAUAUUAAGAACGGGAGGAGAUGAUGAUCAAAUACCUGGUGGGAGGAAUGAAUUUAGAGACAACAACUACCGUCUUUAUGCUACAUGGGG